ACUCCACAUGGUUAGCUGAAGGGCAGAUUCAGAACACAAAUCAGGUGUCCCAGGGCUCUGCCAAGGUGCUUCCUCUUACUUCAUAUUUGACAACUUGGUUGCCUAUCCCAGCCCUGGGAGGACCUAGACCUCCUGACUCCUAUCUCACCAAUGUGCAGGGCAGUUCAUGGGCUUGAGGGCAAGCGUGUCUGUGGAAUGGCUGGUAGAGCAGACACUCAGGGAGCUGGCAAGCCUGUCAGAGCCUGGGGGCUGCAGGACAAACAUAUCUUCCUGAUAAUGUUCCCAGUGUCCUGACAGUUCCCAGAGUUUCGCCGAAAACAGUGUGGGGGUUUUCACUUCUGAGAAACCACGACGGGUGUACUCGGCCUGCAGAGGAGGAUAUAGACACAGGAAGAAGCAGCUCCCGGGGCUCAGUUCAUGAAAGAAGAAGAGCUCCUGUGCCUGUGCGAAGGAAUGGCAGUGUCACUCAAGGGAGAAAGUGAGGACUUUGGAAUCCAGAAGAAACUGAUGGAGCUGCUCAAUCUCUUGGAUUUGGAAUCUGCUCCCAACUUUGCCAUCAGAUUCCCUCACACCAACUCCCCUUCUCCCAAUCUCUGUACCUUCCCAAUGCGUCGGUGGUCCCGUAACUCCGCUUCCCCCUUCCAUUCUUCCCAGGCCCUCAGCUCCUCUACUGUGGGAAAGGAGAUCCCUGACACUCGUUGCAGUGUCUCUGGAGUACCCGAAGACCUCCACAGGGAUGAGGAGUUCUAUGAGAGGACACAGGGAGUCAAAGGGAAGAUGGUGGGGGGGUGGGACUGCAGGCACCUAAGCUCUCCUUCAAUGAUGCUAAUCUGAUACUGAGCUUAAGCACAAUUGUCCCGUCUCAGUGUUCACUCCGUUUCCCAUUGCCUUCACCAGACUACUAUCCCCCCAGACUCCCUGCCAUGUUUAUAGCCUUAGAGAUGCUCCCCCAUCCCCCAACUUCUAAUCAGUGACUGCUCAUGGGAGUAACUCUAAGCUCUGGUCAAAUGUCCAUCUAUCCAUCCACUUAUCAAUCUCCCACACUAUGUCCUACUCUUCUUAGCCACAUGAAAUUCAAAUGCCUCUGCUUGCUCUUUUCUUGAACAAUUUAAUAAGAAA
Long non-coding RNA from Canis lupus familiaris (dog), 1119 nucleotides. RefSeq lists it as uncharacterized. The transcript has 2 exons. The record is from RefSeq and is a predicted model, not a curated record. Lineage: Eukaryota; Metazoa; Chordata; Mammalia; Carnivora; Canidae.